RNAcentral lists this transfer RNA (87 nucleotides) under Paenibacillus pasadenensis. Its description in RNAcentral is "tRNA-Leu". It matches the Rfam family "tRNA". From Rfam's summary of the family: Transfer RNA (tRNA) molecules are approximately 80 nucleotides in length. Lineage: Bacteria; Bacillati; Bacillota; Bacilli; Caryophanales; Paenibacillaceae. The record is from RNAcentral. RNAcentral also lists the same sequence under 13 other names.
GCGGUCAUGGCGGAAUUGGCAGACGCGCUAGAUUCAGGUUCUAGUGUCAGCAAUGACGUGGAGGUUCAAGUCCUCUUGACCGCACCA